RNAcentral lists this unclassified non-coding RNA (201 nucleotides) under soil metagenome. Its description in RNAcentral is "partial contains 5.8S ribosomal RNA, internal transcribed spacer 2, and large subunit ribosomal RNA". The record is from RNAcentral.
AACGGUCUAUACCUGCGGUACCUGCGGAGGGAUCAUUACCGAGCCUACCCCCCGGGUAGAUCUCCCACCCACUGUGAUCACUACCCCCGUUGCCUUGGCGGGCCGCCGACCGGCCGCCCGCCAGAGGACCCCCAAGACCCUGGAUGUCGGUGUUGUCCGAGUACAGCUUAUAACGAUCAAAACUUUUAGCAACGGAUCUCU